UUUUGACCGUGCAAAGGUAGCGCAAUCACUUGUCUUUUAAAUAGAGACCUGUAUGAAUGGCUAAACGAGGGCUUAACUGUCUCCCCUUUCCAGUCAGUGAAAUUGAUCUACCCGUGCAGAAGCGGGUAUAAUAAUACAAGACGAGAAGACCCUUUGGAGCUUAAGGUACAAAACUCAACCACGUUAAGCAACUCAAUAAAAAGUGAAAACUUUGUGGAACAUGAGAUUUUACCUUCGGUUGGGGCGACCACGGAGGAAAAAAGAGCCUCCAGGUGGAACGGGAGAAUUUCCUAAAACUAAGAGAGACAUCUCUAAGCCACAGAACAUCUGACCAAAUAUGAUCCGGCUAAUACAAGCCGAUCAACGAACCAAGUUACCCUAGGGAUAACAGCGCAAUCCUCUCCCAGAGUCCAUAUCGACGAGGGG
This 426-nucleotide ribosomal RNA is filed under the name Carassius auratus (goldfish). Its description in RNAcentral is "partial 16S ribosomal RNA". It matches the Rfam family "Bacterial large subunit ribosomal RNA", at positions 1940 to 2515 of the family's 2925-position model. Lineage: Eukaryota; Metazoa; Chordata; Actinopteri; Cypriniformes; Cyprinidae. The record is from RNAcentral.